UAAAUGGCCGCGGUACUUUGACCGUGCAAAGGUAGCAUAAUCAUUAGUUUUUUAAUUGAAAGCUGGAAUGAAAGGUUUAAUGAAAAAAUAACUGUCUUUAUUAUAUUUAAUUAGAAUUUUAUUUUUAAGUUAAAAAGCUUAAAUUAUAUUUAAAGACGAGAAGACCCUUUAGAGUUUUAUAAUAGUUAAGUUUUUAAUUUUUUAGUAUUAAUUAUGAAAAAGUUUUAUAUUAUUUAGUUGGGGCGAUUAAAAAAUUUAAAAAACUUUUUUUUUUAUUUUACAUUUAUAUAUGAUUAUAUGAUCCAUAAAUUAUGAUUAAAAGAAUAAAUUACCUAAGGGAUAACAGCGUUAUUUUUUUUAAGAGUUCUUAUCGAAAAAAAAGAUUGCGACCUCGAUGUUGGAUUAAAAUUAAAUUAUGGUGUAGAGGCUAUAACUUUAGGUCUGUUCGACCUUUAAAAUUUUACAUGAUCUGAGUUUAAACCGGUUUAAGCCAGGUUGGUUUCUAUCUUAAAUUUAUUAUAAUAUUUUAGUACGAAAGGACCAAGUAUUAUACUUUUAAUAUUAAAUUUUGAAUUAAAUU
RNAcentral lists this ribosomal RNA (580 nucleotides) under Sebastiangethes anthystrixoides. Its description in RNAcentral is "partial large subunit ribosomal RNA". It matches the Rfam family "Bacterial large subunit ribosomal RNA", at positions 1924 to 2734 of the family's 2925-position model. Lineage: Eukaryota; Metazoa; Arthropoda; Insecta; Coleoptera; Nitidulidae. The record is from RNAcentral.